Molecule: long non-coding RNA, 261 nt
Filed under: Trifolium pratense (red clover)
Lineage: Eukaryota; Viridiplantae; Streptophyta; Magnoliopsida; Fabales; Fabaceae
Description: long non-coding RNA (TPRA_LNC004495)
Source: RNAcentral
AAUCCUGAGGGAUUUGCGCUUAUGAGGCGGAUAAAUCCUUAAGGACAGUGCGAUCAGCACGCCUCAGGUAUUGCAUCACGGUUUGAUAUUUUGCAGGUCUAAUUAGCUGUUUACUAUGCGGGUGUCUACAUCAAAUUACUACACUCACAAGAGAUAAGUUCCUCUGAACUCUAUUUGAAUUUAUUCUUUAUAAUAUUUGUUGAAUUACUUAAAUUAAUAUAUGGUUGAAUAUUGUGAUUAGGUCCAAUGUUUACAACAGAA